UACGUAGGGACCGAGCGUUGUCCGGAUUCAUUGGGCGUAAAGAGCUCGUAGGCGGCUGCUCAAGUCGAAUGUGAAACCUCGAGGCUUAACCUCGAGCCUGCAUUCGAUACUGGGCGGCUAGAGUCUGGUAGGGGGAUCUGGAAUUCCUGGUGUAGCGGUGGAAUGCGCAGAUAUCAGGAGGAACACCGGUGGCGAAGGCGGGUCUCUGGGCCGAUAUUGACGCUGAGGAGCGAAAGCGUGGGGAGCGAACAGG
Molecule: ribosomal RNA, 253 nt
Filed under: uncultured bacterium
Lineage: Bacteria
Description: partial 16S ribosomal RNA
Rfam family: Bacterial small subunit ribosomal RNA
Source: RNAcentral